Molecule: ribosomal RNA, 470 nt
Filed under: uncultured eukaryote
Lineage: Eukaryota
Description: bacterial SSU rRNA
Rfam family: Eukaryotic small subunit ribosomal RNA
Source: RNAcentral
UCCUGACGGUAGUCGUAUGCUCGUCUCCGAGACUAAGCCAUGCAAGUCCAAGUACACGUCCUUGAACGACGGAAACUGCGAACGGCUCAUUAAAUCAGUUGCGAUCUACUCGGCGUUCCGCGCCGCCGGAUAACCGUAGUAAUUCUAGGGCUAAUACGUGCGAAGCGCCCGAAGCCGCGAGGCGACGGGCGUUCUCGCCGGAUGUAGGAACCGACCCGGGGACCGCCCGGGGGCAACCCCGGGCGCCCCCCGAGACGGGGCGAACCACGGUGAAAUGACGGAUCGUCGGCCCCGCGCCGGCGACUCGCCGAAUGAGUUUCUGACCUAUCAACUCGAGACGGCGGGGUAGAGGCCCGCCGCGGUAACGACGGGUAACGGGAAUCAGGGUUCGAUUCCGGAGAGGGAGCCCGAGAAACGGCUACCACUUCCAAGGAAGGCAGCAGGCGCGCAACUUACCCUAAUCUCGAUUC